UUUGUGUCUGACUUAUCUCACUUAACAGAGCAUCCUCUAGAUCCAUAUACGUUGUCACAAACUUCCUUCUUUUAGUGGCUAACACUCCAUUUUAUACAUACCUACCAUAUUUUCUUUAUCCAUUCAUCCAUCACUGGACACCUAGGUUGUCAUGUCUCGACUACUGUAAAUAGUGCUGCAGUGAACAUGGGGGUGCAAGCAUCUUUUUGGGAUACUGUUUUUGUUUUCCUCAGAUAAAUACCCAGUGUGGGUCUGCUGAGUCAUAGGGUAGUCCUGUUUUUAACUUUUUUGAAAACCCUCCCUACUGUUUCCCACAGGUGCUGCACCAGUUUACAUUUCCACCAACAGUGCAUGAAGUUCCCUUUUCUCCACGUCCUCACCAAUCCUUGUUAUGUCUUGUCUAUUUGAUGAGGGCCAUUAGACAGGUGUGAGGUGAUACCUCAUUGUGGUUUUCAUUUGCGUUUCCCUGAUGAUUAGGUCCUGUGCUGUGGAACAUCUUUUCAUAUGCCUUCCGUAUGUCUUUAGAAAAUGCUUAUUCAGAUCCUCUGCCCACUAAUGUAUGUUUUCUCUCUAAUCACGUAUGUUUCCUUUCCAUUUUGCGGAUGAUUUUGUCUGCUGUGCAGAAGCAUUUUGGUUUGAUGUGGUCCCACUCGGUUAUUUUUGUUUUUGCUGCCUGUUCUUUUGGUGUCCAAUCCAAAAAUUCAUCAUCAAGACUGAUACCAAGUAGCUACCACCUGCAUUUUCUCCUAGGCGUUUUCUGGUUUCAUGUCUUAUAUUCAAGUCUUCAGUCGAUUUUGAUUUAAUUUUUGUAUGUGGUAUAAGAUAGUAGUCAUUGGAAUGUUGAUAGGGAAUGCCUUAAAUCUAUAGUUUGCUUUAGGUAGUGUGGACAUUUAACUGUAUUAUCAGCAUAGCACCCUGGAGUUACGCUUAGUUAUCAGUUCGUUGUCUCUGGUUUUCACCAGUCUCUGGACUUGGAACACUGCCCAGCAGCAGGAAGAACCCAAUAAAUAACUGUUGGGUGAAUGAAUGAGCUGAUGACUCAAGGAAAGAAUACGGCUCCCAGAAGUAGAAAUAAAGGUGUGAAUUGUAUUGCCAGGUGGAUGAUAUUUACACUCUCACGGUGUUUCCAAGGCUUUUUCAGGUUUAAUCCCUACUGAGCAGAGGGUGAGGCUGUGACCCCAGCUCUGCCACCAGUGUGUUGCCCCUGGGGGGCAGCCAGGCCUUCCACUUUGAUGCUGCCGGUCUCUUGAAGCCUCGGCUGCUGUCACAGGUGCCGUGCCUCCUGGGGCCUGGCUGCUGAGCUGGGGGGCACCUAAGAGCCACGGCAUGUGCCUGCUGCUUGCUGCAACUCCCUGUGAUCUGGCACCUCGGCGAGUCCUUUGAUGUUUCAUUCACGAGAAGAUGCGGUCCUUCCACAAGACAGGCAACUUCGUCACGCUCAAGGUGGACUUGCAAACAGCUAGAGGCAGCUGCUGACACCUCCCGACAUGGCACAGAGGAAACUGAGCCAGCGCUGUUUCUCUCCAGCCCCUGCUGUCUCUCCCAAGCACCACCUGCUUGUGCGAAGAGCUCCAUCUGCAGGCUGAGGCAUCUGCAGGCUGAGGCAGGAUGGACUCCAGCUGCGGUGCUGAGUGAAUGGGCUAUUCCCCAGCAGUGAGAGAUCAUAGGAGGAGCCCAGUGGAAACCAACCCAACCAGCAGAAAUGGAUAUGUGAUGGCUGGAGCUGAGGCAGCUGUUCUGUAGCCAAGCAGCAAUGGGCAUAGUAUGAGACUAAAGGAACUGCCAUUACCAUUUAUCACUGAACCCCUGAAACAAAGCUUCCGCUUAUACUUGCCGUGACAACGUGCACCUGUGCUUGAAAAUUGUGUAAAUGUCUGAGCUGAAGGGUUUCAUCCACAUCCAGGGCCACGCCCUGCCCACCAAGUCCAGAGGCUGAGGCCGAGAGGGGACCCCAAGGCCACCAGGAGACACGGAUUCACACUCACUGGUGGCUGAUUUAGGAAGGUGAACUAUUCUGAGUGCCAGAUGUUUCCAGGGAAAAUGCAAAAUGACAGCACCUGGACAGACAGCUCGGCUGUAUUGUAUCCUCUUGCACAUGCAUCUGACCUGUGAGCCAGCCAUUCUGCUCCCUUUUAUCCAACAGAAAUGCAACAUCUGUCCCCUCAAAUUCUAAUAAAGUUCAUAGCAGCUUUGUUCAUAAUUAGCAAAAAGCUGGAAAUAUCCCAAAAGUGAAUGGACAAAUGGGGGUACGUAGCUGCACCAGAGAACACUACUUGGCAAUACAAAGAACUGUGGAAAUACAAAAUCCCUCCAGGAUGCCCACAUGUAUAUGACAUUCUAGAAUAAGUCCAAUUGGGUUCCAGUGAUAGAAGCAUGAGCUUGGGGUCUGAGGGGGGU
Molecule: long non-coding RNA, 2397 nt
Organism: Phacochoerus africanus (Common warthog)
Lineage: Eukaryota; Metazoa; Chordata; Mammalia; Artiodactyla; Suidae
Exons: 4
Source: RefSeq, a predicted model, not a curated record